UACGUAGGGCGCAAGCGUUGUCCGGAAUUAUUGGGCGUAAAGAGCUCGUAGGCGGCCAGUUGCGUCCGCUGUGAAAGCCCAUGGCUUAACUGUGGGUCUGCGGUGGAUACGGGCUGGCUAGAGGUAGGUAGGGGCAAGCGGAAUUCCUGGUGUAGCGGUGAAAUGCGCAGAUAUCAGGAGGAACACCGGUGGCGAAGGCGGCUUGCUGGGCCUUACCUGACGCUGAGGAGCGAAAGCGUGGGGAGCGAACAGG
RNAcentral lists this ribosomal RNA (253 nucleotides) under uncultured bacterium. RNAcentral's name for it is "partial 16S ribosomal RNA". It matches the Rfam family "Bacterial small subunit ribosomal RNA", at positions 524 to 776 of the family's 1533-position model. The record is from RNAcentral.